Non-coding RNA from Otolemur garnettii (small-eared galago), 47 nucleotides. The record is from Rfam. NCBI's taxonomy places the organism in Eukaryota, Metazoa, Chordata, Mammalia, Primates, Galagidae.
CUUAAGGCCCUUCAAGGGGCCACAAUACAUAAAGAAAAAUACAGUAU